RNAcentral lists this ribosomal RNA (1895 nucleotides) under Escherichia coli. RNAcentral's name for it is "partial 23S ribosomal RNA". It matches the Rfam family "Bacterial large subunit ribosomal RNA", at positions 1068 to 2925 of the family's 2925-position model. The record is from RNAcentral. Lineage: Bacteria; Pseudomonadati; Pseudomonadota; Gammaproteobacteria; Enterobacterales; Enterobacteriaceae.
AAACGAUGUGGGAAGGCCCAGACAGCCAGGAUGUUGGCUUAGAAGCAGCCAUCAUUUAAAGAAAGCGUAAUAGCUCACUGGUCGAGUCGGCCUGCGCGGAAGAUGUAACGGGGCUAAACCAUGCACCGAAGCUGCGGCAGCGACACUGUGUGUUGUUGGGUAGGGGAGCGUUCUGUAAGCCUGUGAAGGUGUGCUGUGAGGCAUGCUGGAGGUAUCAGAAGUGCGAAUGCUGACAUAAGUAACGAUAAAGCGGGUGAAAAGCCCGCUCGCCGGAAGACCAAGGGUUCCUGUCCAACGUUAAUCGGGGCAGGGUGAGUCGACCCCUAAGGCGAGGCCGAAAGGCGUAGUCGAUGGGAAACAGGUUAAUAUUCCUGUACUUGGUGUUACUGCGAAGGGGGGACGGAGAAGGCUAUGUUGGCCGGGCGACGGUUGUCCCGGUUUAAGCGUGUAGGCUGGUUUUCCAGGCAAAUCCGGAAAAUCAAGGCUGAGGCGUGAUGACGAGGCACUACGGUGCUGAAGCAACAAAUGCCCUGCUUCCAGGAAAAGCCUCUAAGCAUCAGGUAACAUCAAAUCGUACCCCAAACCGACACAGGUGGUCAGGUAGAGAAUACCAAGGCGCUUGAGAGAACUCGGGUGAAGGAACUAGGCAAAAUGGUGCCGUAACUUCGGGAGAAGGCACGCUGAUAUGUAGGUGAAGUCCCUCGCGGAUGGAGCUGAAAUCAGUCGAAGAUACCAGCUGGCUGCAACUGUUUAUUAAAAACACAGCACUGUGCAAACACGAAAGUGGACGUAUACGGUGUGACGCCUGCCCGGUGCCGGAAGGUUAAUUGAUGGGGUCAGCGCAAGCGAAGCUCUUGAUCGAAGCCCCGGUAAACGGCGGCCGUAACUAUAACGGUCCUAAGGUAGCGAAAUUCCUUGUCGGGUAAGUUCCGACCUGCACGAAUGGCGUAAUGAUGGCCAGGCUGUCUCCACCCGAGACUCAGUGAAAUUGAACUCGCUGUGAAGAUGCAGUGUACCCGCGGCAAGACGGAAAGACCCCGUGAACCUUUACUAUAGCUUGACACUGAACAUUGAGCCUUGAUGUGUAGGAUAGGUGGGAGGCUUUGAAGUGUGGACGCCAGUCUGCAUGGAGCCGACCUUGAAAUACCACCCUUUAAUGUUUGAUGUUCUAACGUGGACCCGUGAUCCGGGUUGCGGACAGUGUCUGGUGGGUAGUUUGACUGGGGCGGUCUCCUCCUAAAGAGUAACGGAGGAGCACGAAGGUUGGCUAAUCCUGGUCGGACAUCAGGAGGUUAGUGCAAUGGCAUAAGCCAGCUUGACUGCGAGCGUGACGGCGCGAGCAGGUGCGAAAGCAGGUCAUAGUGAUCCGGUGGUUCUGAAUGGAAGGGCCAUCGCUCAACGGAUAAAAGGUACUCCGGGGAUAACAGGCUGAUACCGCCCAAGAGUUCAUAUCGACGGCGGUGUUUGGCACCUCGAUGUCGGCUCAUCACAUCCUGGGGCUGAAGUAGGUCCCAAGGGUAUGGCUGUUCGCCAUUUAAAGUGGUACGCGAGCUGGGUUUAGAACGUCGUGAGACAGUUCGGUCCCUAUCUGCCGUGGGCGCUGGAGAACUGAGGGGGGCUGCUCCUAGUACGAGAGGACCGGAGUGGACGCAUCACUGGUGUUCGGGUUGUCAUGCCAAUGGCACUGCCCGGUAGCUAAAUGCGGAAGAGAUAAGUGCUGAAAGCAUCUAAGCACGAAACUUGCCCCGAGAUGAGUUCUCCCUGACCCUUUAAGGGUCCUGAAGGAACGUUGAAGACGACGACGUUGAUAGGCCGGGUGUGUAAGCGCAGCGAUGCGUUGAGCUAACCGGUACUAAUGAACCGUGAGGCUUAACCUUACAACGCCGAAGGUGUUU